This 253-nucleotide ribosomal RNA is filed under the name uncultured bacterium. RNAcentral describes it as "partial 16S ribosomal RNA". It matches the Rfam family "Bacterial small subunit ribosomal RNA", at positions 524 to 776 of the family's 1533-position model. The record is from RNAcentral.
UACGAAGGGGGCUAGCGUUGCUCGGAAUCACUGGGCGUAAAGCGCACGUAGGCGGACUCUUAAGUCAGAGGUGAAAUCCUGGAGCUCAACUCCAGAACUGCCUUUGAUACUGGGAGUCUCGAGUUCGGGAGAGGUGAGUGGAACUGCGAGUGUAGAGGUGAAAUUCGUAGAUAUUCGGCGGAACACCGGUGGCGAAGGCGACUCACUGGCCCGAUACUGACGCUGAGGCGCGAAAGCGUGGGGAGCAAACAGG